This 427-nucleotide ribosomal RNA is filed under the name uncultured beta proteobacterium. RNAcentral's name for it is "partial 16S ribosomal RNA". It matches the Rfam family "Bacterial small subunit ribosomal RNA", at positions 355 to 774 of the family's 1533-position model. The record is from RNAcentral. Lineage: Bacteria; Pseudomonadati; Pseudomonadota; Betaproteobacteria.
UGGGGAAUUUUGGACAAUGGGGGCAACCCUGAUCCAGCAAUGCCGCGUGUGUGAAGAAGGCCUUCGGGUUGUAAAGCACUUUUGUUUGGGAAGAAAUCCCUUGGGAUAAUACCUCAGGGGGAUGACGGUACCAAAAGAAUAAGCACCGGCUAACUACGUGCCAGCAGCCGCGGUAAUACGUAGGGUGCAAGCGUUAAUCGGAAUUACUGGGCGUAAAGCGUGCGCAGGCGGUUGUGUAAGACAGAUGUGAAAUCCCCGAGCUUAACUUGGGAACUGCAUUUGUGACUGCAUUACUAGAGUGCGUCAGAGGGGGGUAGAAUUCCACGUGUAGCAGUGAAAUGCGUAGAGAUGUGGAGGAAUACCGAUGGCGAAGGCAGCCCCCUGGGAUGACACUGACGCUCAUGCACGAAAGCGUGGGGAGCAAACA